UGGGGAAUUUUGGACAAUGGGGGCAACCCUGAUCCAGCCAUGCCGCGUGUGUGAAGAAGGCCUUCGGGUUGUAAAGCACUUUUGGCGGGAACGAAACGGUCUGUGCUAAUACCACGGACUAAUGACGGUACCCGCAGAAUAAGCACCGGCUAACUACGUGCCAGCAGCCGCGGUAAUACGUAGGGUGCAAGCGUUAAUCGGAAUUACUGGGCGUAAAGCGUGCGCAGGCGGUUUCGCAAGUCAGAUGUGAAAUCCCCGGGCUCAACCUGGGAACUGCAUUUGAAACUACGAGGCUUGAGUGUGGCAGAGGGGGGUGGAAUUCCACGUGUAGCAGUGAAAUGCGUAGAGAUGUGGAGGAACACCGAUGGCGAAGGCAGCCCCCUGGGCUAACACUGACGCUCAUGCACGAAAGCGUGGGGAGCAAACA
RNAcentral lists this ribosomal RNA (427 nucleotides) under uncultured bacterium. Its description in RNAcentral is "bacterial SSU rRNA". It matches the Rfam family "Bacterial small subunit ribosomal RNA", at positions 355 to 774 of the family's 1533-position model. The record is from RNAcentral.